Sphaeramia orbicularis (orbiculate cardinalfish) is the source of this 132-nucleotide long non-coding RNA. RefSeq lists it as uncharacterized. NCBI's taxonomy places the organism in Eukaryota, Metazoa, Chordata, Actinopteri, Kurtiformes, Apogonidae. The record is from RefSeq and is a predicted model, not a curated record. The transcript is spliced from 3 exons.
UGGGGUGUUUUUUUGGUUUCGAUCAGUGGUUCUUAAUGUUUUUCUGUCAGCCCCCCCCUUCGUAGGACUAAAAAUCUCCAGGCCCCCCUCAACCCCAACAACACUGUAACAGUGGUGCAAUUGUAACUUUUA